UAUAAACAAGUCCUGGUCAUGCUU
This 24-nucleotide microRNA is filed under the name Prunus persica (peach). RNAcentral's name for it is "microRNA miRNA_429". The record is from RNAcentral. Lineage: Eukaryota; Viridiplantae; Streptophyta; Magnoliopsida; Rosales; Rosaceae.